AGCUAACUUGCUUACUGCUCUGACCCAUUUUACCAUAGCAACCUGGUUUGCUGUACCAGGGGCUAGAAAAAGCACAGAGGUGACUUUUUAAGGUUUCCAAGAUUAAGUUCACUCUCUGCUCUUGAUUUUUUUUCCCCUGAAUGUGCUUAGCAGACAUGACGAAGAAGAACUGACACUUUCCAACAGCACUGGAAGCCAGGAAAAGAUUUAGGCGAGGUCAAUCUAACCUACAUGUUGAACAUAGAAAGCAGCAAGAAAGUAAACUCUAGCACCCAAAACGCAAAAGACUGAACCACCGUUUCUCAGUGAUUUCAGAGACCAAAAAAAUUAUGUCCUGAGGAAUUCUACUUUCUAAAGAUUGGGAAUGAGUGUCAUUUUCUGGACUUCCUGAAGGAUUAUAAGAACUAUCAUAUGUAAAGCGUGAGAUAUUAUGUCCCAUGCUUCCACUGCCAUAUGACUUUCAGCUAUUUCGUGGAUUGAAUGGGAUUCAUUAACCAGACUUGUGGCUGUAAUCACCUCAGUGAAUGGAUCAUUUCUUUAUGGCUCUCUGAGAACACAAUGUUAUUAAUCCUAGGGACUAUUAGAUUACCUCCAAAAUGAAGAACUACCAAAGGUGCAGUUUGCAGAGUCAGUCAGUGCCCUUUUCUUGACUUUCUCUGUAAACUAAAGUGAACCUCUCUUUCUCAGAAUCUACUGAGGGAAUAAACUGUAAACUGCAGAUGAUAAUUUAUGGAUGCUAAUUUUACAGUUCUCACAUACCACAGGCAACAGCUGUAAUCUUCAUUCCUCAGUACAUGUCACCUUUGAUCUGGAACAGUCUUUUAACAAAACCUCCACAUUCCUGCUGAUCUUUAGAAGCCAGUGAGUUUAACUUCGCUGCUUUGCACGUCUGUAUUUAUUAUUCCAAGCACAUUACCCAGGCACCGAAACGCUCUAGUAGGACCCGGAUCUUACAAGUGCAGUAUGCCAUUUCUCUGUCAUAAACUGAUGAAGGAUAGGCAGUUGUCUUGGCUUUUUCUAAACACAUAUUUAUAAUUAGGUAAGUAUGAGUUAGAAACAAAGUGAGAAUGGUUUCAGUAAUUAGAAAAAUGCAGAAAAGACUAGACAGAAGUGGAAAAAGAUGGAAGCAAGCAAAGGAGAAUAUGCCAAGUGGGAGUAAUGAAGCUGACACAAGAGGACUUGCCAGAGAGAGGUGGGAGGGGGUGGAAACACAGGAUUCAAGAGCAUGAGGAGAAAGAUCCUCAACUGGGAAAAGUCAAGCCAGAGUUGGAAAACACCACUAAUGUCUAGUGCCUAUGAAGAUGUGCAGCUGCUUCUGCUUUGGCCGGACCUUCUAUGCAGCUGUUGGCUCUGCCUAGGAAUGUCUUCUGCCCCUCAGACCAUAUGAAACACAUCAAGUUGGGAAGAGAUAGAGCUCUGGCAUGCUCUAUUUCCAUCCCAAAUUGUGCUGUUGCACAGGAUGAAGAGAAGUAUUUAUUGUUUGGAUAGUCAUUUAAAAUAAGUAUGUUUAUAUUUCAGUUUAAUUAAUUAAAGAUUCUCUGAUUAUUUUUCUUCAUGCCAACUGUCUCCAGCUGUGUCUGAAUCUACUCUUCUCCCAACAGUCUUUUCACAGUAGGUACAACUGUAACGGGACAGCUACAUGUAAAAUCACAAGAAAAAACCAGUUUCCUUGGCUAAUAUUCAUCCUCCAGUGGCCCAGGAGAAACUACAAAAAUCAGGGUCAUAUACAAAGCCAGUGCUUCUAGACAGGCAAGGCAAAAUUGUUUAGUGUUUGUUCCAGGCAUUACUAUUUGGGACCUGGCUUAUCCUACCAGAAGAAGAGGAAGUAGUUGGAAAAGGUGUGGAGCUGAAACACAGAGCCUUAAGUGCUGAGUUUGCUUUUGCUGAUGCCUCCAAGAAGAUGGGAGAGAUGGGGACUCUGACCACCAUCGCCCAGUGCAGUAUCUUCACUCUUCCCCAAAAGCAAUUCUGCUUUUGCUUAGAAGCCAGUGAUGCAGAGCUCCGUUGAGCAGGGUUAGGUCACUGCAAACACUCCAGCAAUGUUUGGAUUAAGUUUCAAUAAAACAUCCCUCUCUUAAAAUCUCUCUGAUCUUUGUCUAAUAGGUGCAACACCAGCUAAGGCAGCUCUACUGGUCCAUCAAACUGAUUAAGAGAAGGGUGGGUUGGGAUUCUCAAAGGCAAGAUAAGAUGGAAAGUGAAAGUGAAGUGAAAAGAAGAAUGGAAAUAUCAAACCAGGUUUUGUGGCAUGCAGUGAAAGGAAGGAAAGAGGGUUUUUUUCCUGGGGUCAAGGUGGAGUUGAUGGAGAAAAUGCAAAUGAAUUUAACUAUUCGAGCAUCUCUGCUCACUAAUUAGUCUCUCCUGGGUUGCAUACUAUUCCAGACACAACAGCACUAUCUGACUGAACUGCUAAAUACUGAAUACCUGUGAAAAAUGAGACAUGGCAUCCCAUUAGAAAGAAGACCCAUUUUCCCAGAGUUGCACCAUAUUAUUCACAGGAUUGUAAACUGCCAACAUAAUGGGCUUUACACUUUAUCUUUUUCAUUACAGGAAAUUAUCUAUGGGCAAGCUAAUGUUUCUGAUUUUGCAGGUGAAGGAUAUGAUACUAUUUGAAGCUUUUCAGAGCUUGUGUAUGUGGUCCUUGUAUGGAAAUAGAUGUAGAUAGUUUUCCCUUUAUAAUUCUGUAAAUGUAACAUAAUAAACAGUCUGGUUGAAUAUGA
Long non-coding RNA from Dromaius novaehollandiae (emu), 2717 nucleotides. RefSeq lists it as uncharacterized. NCBI's taxonomy places the organism in Eukaryota, Metazoa, Chordata, Aves, Casuariiformes, Dromaiidae. The transcript has 2 exons. The record is from RefSeq and is a predicted model, not a curated record.